AUACGGAGGGUCCGAGCGUUAAUCGGAAUUACUGGGCGUAAAGCGCGCGUAGGCGGAUUGUUAAGUCUCAUGUGAAAGCCCUGGGCUCAACCUGGGAACUGCAUGGGAUACUGGCAAUCUAGAAUACAGUAGAGGGUAGUGGAAUUUCAGGUGUAGCGGUGAAAUGCGUAGAGAUCUGAAGGAACAUCAGUGGCGAAGGCGACUACCUGGACUGAUAUUGACGCUGAGGUGCGAAAGCGUGGGGAGCAAACGGGAUUAGAAACCCCGGUAGUCC
RNAcentral lists this ribosomal RNA (274 nucleotides) under uncultured bacterium. RNAcentral's name for it is "partial 16S ribosomal RNA". It matches the Rfam family "Bacterial small subunit ribosomal RNA", at positions 523 to 796 of the family's 1533-position model. The record is from RNAcentral.